This is a small nucleolar RNA of Sarcophilus harrisii (Tasmanian devil), 79 nucleotides long. Ensembl annotates it as small nucleolar RNA, C/D box 72. Its record names the gene SNORD72. Lineage: Eukaryota; Metazoa; Chordata; Mammalia; Dasyuromorphia; Dasyuridae. The record is from Ensembl.
AGCUUGUCAGUGAUGCACUUUUAAAAAAUGUCUGAACAUAUGAAUAAAUAGUGAUUUCAGCAUUUAACUGAGAUAAGCU